This 504-nucleotide ribosomal RNA is filed under the name Oreina speciosa. Its description in RNAcentral is "partial 16S ribosomal RNA". It matches the Rfam family "Bacterial large subunit ribosomal RNA", at positions 1829 to 2598 of the family's 2925-position model. The record is from RNAcentral. Lineage: Eukaryota; Metazoa; Arthropoda; Insecta; Coleoptera; Chrysomelidae.
UUUUGUAGAUAAUUUAAGGUCUAGCCUGCCCACUGAAAUUUUAAAUGGCCGUGGUAUUUUGACCGUGCUAAGGUAGCAUAAUCAUUAGUUUUUUAAUUAAAAACUGGAAUGAAAGGUUGGAUGAGAAAAUAGCUGUCUCUAUUAAAUUUAAUUAGAAUUUUAUUUUUAAGUUAAAAAGCUUAAUUAUUAUUAAAAGACGAGAAGACCCUAUAGAGUUUAAUUAUUUAGUAAAAAUUAUAUUUUAGUAUUAAUUUAUUUAUUUUAUUAAAUAAUUUAAUUGGGGUGAUUGAAAAAUUUAAUUAACUUUUUUUUAUUUAAGAACAUUAAUUUAUGAAUAAAUGAUCCAAUAUUUUUGAUUAUAAGAUAAAAUUACCUUAGGGAUAACAGCGUAAUUUUUUUAGAAAGUUCAUAUUAAAAAAAAAGAUUGCGACCUCGAUGUUGGAUUAAAAUAAAUUUUUGGUGUAGAAGCUAAAAUAUUAGGUCUGUUCGACCUUUAAAAUUUUA